This 330-nucleotide ribosomal RNA is filed under the name Triticum aestivum (bread wheat). Its description in RNAcentral is "partial small subunit ribosomal RNA". The record is from RNAcentral. Lineage: Eukaryota; Viridiplantae; Streptophyta; Magnoliopsida; Poales; Poaceae.
AUGAAGGGCGCGGGCGGCACACUGCCCGGGCGAGAGGAGGAGCAAAAGGGCACGCACGGAGGCGGGGCCGUAUGCAUCGGACGUGCACGCUCGCCCGCAGUCAACGGGGACACAUCGGCCGUCCAUGGCAACUCGGAUCGAUGCAGGAGAACGAGGGGAGGGUCUCGCGAGGGUCGGGAAUGGAGCGGAGGCGGGUGGAACGGGCGAUUCGAAGGGGCUGCGGCGACGAGCAACUCCGUAGGCGGCGACCUGCGGGGUUCAAGCGGCGGUUGCCAUGAAGGUCGGGCGGCGGCUCUGCCUAGCCACGGUUCCUGCCUUCUCCCAGCCUAG